Molecule: non-coding RNA, 120 nt
Organism: Danio rerio (zebrafish)
Lineage: Eukaryota; Metazoa; Chordata; Actinopteri; Cypriniformes; Danionidae
Source: Rfam
UGUCACAGCCAUAUCACACUGUAGCCUAAGACCGGUUACUUACUGAAGCUAAGCUUCAAGGCUGAGCCUGGCCAGUACCUGGAUGGGAGACUACAUGGGAAAACUAGGUUGCUGCUGGAA